AGAGAGAGAAAGAGAGGUUCUCCUCUUCCCACCAUAGAGGAAGAGAGAGAGAGCUGUACGUGACGCUUCCGCCCAUGAGGGCUCUUGGCAAAACACGCGAGCGAGGAAAAAAGAAAAUGGGGAAGAGAGAAAGGGGAACCGAAGGCGGAGAACGACGAUGGCGAAGAGGGUUGCAGGGAAGAAAACUAGAAGCGGGAACGGUGUUGAGGAUCGAGAGAUCGAAUCGCUGUUUCCUUGGGAGAUCGGCUUCCACGGGAUGUGACCUCUCUUCGACUCGUUCGAGAAUUCUUUCCGACGCUCCUCCAAGAUUUUUUUCCCAUAUUCUUUCCUUUUUCUUCUCGGAAUACGCUUCGACCUCCGUUUUUCCGUUAGAUCGCGCAUCGCUUCAUCGAAUUCCUGCUUCUUGCCUCGUGUUUUUCAGUAAAAUGACUUUAGAGUAAAACGUAGAACAGAACUAAACGGGAAUAAGAAUCGAAUGUUAUUUACUUUUGCUGCAUGGGCCAGAAAGUUCAACCUUCGUUUAUUUCAGAUAAAGUACGAACACAGACCCUGGGAAACUAUGGCAAGUCUAUUUUUCUUGAUUUCCUGAUUUCUAUGUUAUUUCAUGUAAGCUGCAACCAAGAGAACGUCGAUUAUUCGACGCGACGCGGAUCGGCUCUAUCACGGAUAAUCGAAAAUUCGGAUAAUAUGGAAAGGUCUAAUUAAGAUUUAUAAAUCGUAUGGUAAAAUCGUAAGGAAGAGUUUAAUAAUGCAAUGUCGUACACGCAUUUAGGUUUAAUUCGCUAUUUAAUCGGUUGAAAGUUUGAUUAACUGCUUUCACAAUACUCUUCGUAUUAAAAUUUCGAAAAAAUUAAGUUACGGUGAAGUUUAAAGCACCUCGGAUAAUACGGAACUUCGGUUGAACGGGACUCGAAAAACCGAGACUCCAGCGUAUUUUAAUACGAAAUAGUUAACCGAUAUUGCUAUUGCCAGAUAUCCUUUUUAUCCGUUAAAAUAGGAGCCAACAAAAAGAAGACGAGAAAAAUGCAUAAUCGUCCAGAGAUUUAUUAUUUUUUAUUUAUCUUUCUAUAACAAAACGCAAUCUGCAUUUCACUCGAAUCUGUUUUAAUGUAUUGACAUUGUUUGGUGCAAACUUGACAAUCUAAUGCUAUAUGUAACUAAUGCGUAAUUUGGAAUUACCGUGUUCCUCUUUGUGCAGAACGUACUUUGAUUGGACAAUAUUUUGUGUUGAUCAAUGGGAACCAAAAUAUCGAUAAUACACUGAUUAUAUUUUUGGCAAUGGUACGUGCGGCACUUUAACACUUAAGGGAACGUUUAAAUUGAACAAAAGUGCCUAUUAUUAUCGAAAAGUCAGAGAGAUAUGGAGAGAGAGAGAGAGAGAGAGAGAGAGAGAGUUAAGCGGCACGUGCUUGUUAAUUUGUUCCCCGCACGUGUCACCGAUAAAACCGCGUCAAAAUAUUGCUGGCAAUUUGAAUAGGCCAAUUAUGAAGAUAGAGCCGAAAAUACGCCCAUCUUUUUAAAAAGAGAAAGAUUAUUCGCACAGACAUCGCUUUAGUUUUAAUUCACAGUAUUACGCGGCUGCGUUAUAAAUAAAAGAAGGCACAAGAUACCAGAAAGAGGAAGAAAAGAAGUAGAAAUGAAAAGAGAAGUUCGGUGAAGAAGCAAAGAAAUGUAUUUAGAAGCUUAUAGAUAUCGAUGUUGAUUCUUUUAAUAUUCUCAAAGACGUUUCUUGUAAAUUCGCGAUAUUCGGCAAUGCCGAUGUUUUUAGCACUUGGGUUACGGAUCACUUCAAGUGCAAAUGAGUCGCUCCAUCGAACGAAGCAAAAAGCGAAAGUUUAUGCACGAUGUUUGAGCGCCUUUGACGAACAUUCGUCUAAACGGAGACGACACGUACGAUCCCAGAAGAGGUACUGCGUGUAGAUCAAAGCCAGUGAAUUUUCGAUGCACCGACCGAGGGUGCAGGGGCAUUCUGAAAAGGGGGUGCACACCAUAUCGACAGGGCGUGGUCGAAAUCUGUCACACUAGCCGCGAACAAACCUGAUGCCUUGUCAGCAAUAGUAUAGAAUUUCUUCCGAUUACUACGCUUUUCUCCCAGUGUAAAUUCGAAAUUUCUCGAACGAUCGUCGAACACGGUGUAACGAAAGGUAAUCACGCCUUAAGAUAUAAUAAUAAUCCACGAAAAUUGACGAGAAGGAUAAAACUGUUUUAUUUCUUUUUCAUUAAGAGAAAAUUCCAAUGAGGUUUCUAGUAAUUAAUUUUAGAAGAGAUUAUGCUAUCGUAGCAGUGGUAGUUCGUUCGUUUCAACUUAUUAGUCUAGAAAGUGGACUUGAUUACGUAAAUUACGAUAUAUUACAUCGUCUUAUACGUUAUCCUUAUCCCGUAUUGUCGUCGAAUCUGCCUCUUACAUGAUUAUCUCUUUGAUCUCUAUUCUGGAGCCAUCGAGAUUAUUCUAUUGUUUAAUCAAAUACAUUAGAAAUGUUAGUAUUUAAAUAUCAAGCAGCUCUCAUCCAGCGAUGAACAUAUUUUCGAUGCAAUAAACGACAUAGACUUUUAAAACGAACAUAUUUACGAACUCGUGUUUAUGCGUCAUAUGAGAAAAUGAGUGGGUGGUUCUCCCAUAUGGGCAACGGAUGAUUAUCGCUCGAAUCGAGACACAAUUUUUAUCAACGAUCGAUGAUACAUUAUAACGUCAAAAGAAUGUCGUAUUUUUGAACUGUGACCGUUCUUACUCUCUUUUUUAAAUGCAGUUCUUCUUUCAUUUAAGGUACGAUAGAAUUCCAAUUUUGGAAUGUUACGCGUGUCUCUUUAAUACGAGCACUCAUACUAAUUAAUAAUUAAUAUAUCAUAGCAUUGCGUUAAACUAGCUCGUAAAAUAUGAACACCCACUAAAAUCGCAUAAAUAUGCGGACGUUUCAGUUUGGAUUAUUAGUCUUUCUUUUUCUUCUUUUUUUUGGUCAAAAACAAGUAAGUGGUCAUGUAUUUUUAAGCAUAACACGAUGGUCUACGUAGAAAUAGUUGGCAUACUAUUUAUGAAAUUGUAUUCGAAUUCCAGGUGGACUUCUAUGUAACUUCAAACCACUGUUUGUACAUAGUCGCCGUUUCACCGAUUUAAUUUGCAAGGGGUAGACCGCUUAGAUUAGAUCAGAUCUUACGGAUUGGAAAGCCGACUUUACGGUCUACAUGGACCAUAUGCAGUUUCUGCUUCAUAAGGGUGAUCCGACUACCCUACUUAAUCGAUAAGAUGCGAAAGCAACGAUAAACUCGCUUGUCUUUCCAUGAUACUGUUCUGCAAGGGAAUUAUCAUUUUCUAUCGAAUAUUAUAGGAAAUAAGAAACCAGUGGUGCUAUGCGAGUGAUAAAAAGAUGUUUAUCAUCGUUUAAUCAAUUAUAAUAUCCGAAUAACAAGAUUAAAAAAAAAGAAAUUUCUUUAAAUAGAAUUAAUCGAUGCGGCUAAAUCACACUCUUGCGUGAAAAACAGAAAAUACGUUUUUCUCUUACGUUGUUCGUGCUGUACGCGUGGUUAUUUUACUCGUUCGGCAGAAACGAAAAACGUGAAAUAUCGUCAACAUAAAAACGUAAGACAGCGGUUAUUGAAACAAACUUUGUUCGACUCAUGGGAACGUUAACGGAGAUCAUAAGCGUGGCAAGCAGGUCUGAAUGAAUAAUUAUCGAUAGAAUAAGCGAAACCUCAAUGGGGACAAUUCUGGUCUCGAAUUGGCCGACUUUUCACUCUGUCCACCCGUAAGUUUUUGCGACUAUUGUCGACGAAAUUGCAGCCUUGAAAAACGGCGACACGCGCGAUGGGCGUUCUGUUUUCAAAGUGCGAUUCAAAGAGACGAAAUUGCCGGCCUUCAGCGUGAUACUUCGUCUUUUGUACGACGUUGACAAAACGUACGCUUUUAUCGACGUUGCACAUUUCAGACAUUCGAUGCAUGUCGACGAGUUUUCCUGAAAAUUUUCCAUCGUCGAACGGAAUUGUAGGCGGUAAAACAAAGCAUGGGAAGUUGCGGCCAAAAUAUUCAAUAUAACUAUGUAACUGAAUUAUGUUACGCUGAUGCGAUACACGGUUAGUGUACACAGCAGCUCUAUUAAAUAGAACGAAACAUUAUUGUACCGUGAAUGUAUAGGAAUGCUUUUUUCCUCCCGCGAUAAUUUUCCGUCGUUAGAUAUUUAUUUUAAUCGAUAUACCCCGACCGUGACGAAUCGACACGUUUUAUUCGCAAAUUAUCGAAAAGGUGGAUACCGUUUGAAAAUCAUACGAGAGAAACGUAGCAAGUCUAUAUUUGUUAGUAAUUCUCUGAUUUUUCCAGUAUCCACGUUACGCUUAUUAAGGUUGGGCAAAGUUUCUUAAUAUAUUGAAACAUUUGCCACAGUUAGUAGAAAUAAAAAUAUUAUUUAUUUAGCGCAUACAGCUACAGCGUCAAUGAAAUUUCACCAUGUUUUAUAUAAUACGAUAUAUACGAUAAAUGUUUUCUACAGCCAGUACGUUCAAGUACUUUGGCGUGGUACUGUACGUUUACCGAAACUUCCGUUCAAAAUUAUAAUUAAAUUAUUGACGAAGCAUAACUUUUCAGAUAAACAGAUAUUUGUCCUGUAUCUCUCGCCUCUCUUUUUUCGAAGACAGCAAGGAUGAUCGUGAAAGGAAGGAUGACCUAAAUAUGGGCAACACGAGUAACGAACUGAUUCUUGCUAUCGCGACGAAAACGAUGACCAACUUUUUUCCGUGAGUUCGAGCAACUUUGAAGACGCUGAAGCUCUCGAAACUUUACGUUCCUCCUUUAUAGCAACCCUCCUCAUACUCUCUGGUUACAUGCUUCUUCGAACUCACCCUUGGACGAGAGAAUCCUGGCGCCUCGUUUUGAGGGAGGGUCGAACGAAGAGGGCGUCAAGGAGACGAGUCUAAGGGUUCCGCGAGGAUUCGUCGAAAAAGGAGAAUCUACUUCCGACGUAGAUGCGUCUGAGAACGUGGAUCGUUCCGGAUUACGCCGAAGGUAUCGGUGUUUGGUAAUGAGUAAAAAUCUACCGCGUGUCUACGUUCGAAAAUAAGAGAACCUCGCGGAGAAGCAACUCCUUAUACGCGUGCCGGAAAGCAAGAACACGAAGUGUAAGUUUCGAACGAAAGAAACGAAAUCAUCGACGCGAGCAAAUAUCGAUAUUCAAAGAGGAAACCAUAGAAAGAGUAUAAAGGAUAAAUAAAGAAAUCGCUCGGAAGAAAUUUGAUAUUCGGCGAAAGAACGAUAUUAAAACAUCGGACAUGGAUUUAACGUUACAACGAAAUAAUGAAAAUUGAGGUUGAAAAAAUUUAUUUGACGACGUAGGAAGAAGGGAAAAAAAUUGAACGAGAGAGAGAGCAGACGAAAAGAAACGAAGUAAAACUUCGCAUGUACGGUACGCGGGUUUCGAGAGAGGAUGGAGACUCGUUCAUGGAAUUACAAAUCAUCGAAAAGCUGUGCGCAAAACACAAAGACAGGGAUGGAAAUUCGUUGAAAAACCUAUUCUAUUCGUUACAAGCUCGUGUCGAACUCAGCUCGUAGGCAAACGACUCACGCGGCCGUGAAACGAAGAGUUUCUCGACUCGCACACGUACUAGUUGGGUCAGCCGUAUGCGUGUACGUUACGAUCAA
Molecule: long non-coding RNA, 5623 nt
Organism: Bombus terrestris (buff-tailed bumblebee)
Lineage: Eukaryota; Metazoa; Arthropoda; Insecta; Hymenoptera; Apidae
Exons: 3
Source: RefSeq, a predicted model, not a curated record